RNAcentral lists this ribosomal RNA (2434 nucleotides) under Escherichia coli. RNAcentral's name for it is "partial 23S ribosomal RNA". It matches the Rfam family "Bacterial large subunit ribosomal RNA", at positions 398 to 2818 of the family's 2925-position model. Lineage: Bacteria; Pseudomonadati; Pseudomonadota; Gammaproteobacteria; Enterobacterales; Enterobacteriaceae. The record is from RNAcentral.
UGUGAGCUCGAUGAGUAGGGCGGGACACGUGGUAUCCUGUCUGAAUAUGGGGGGACCAUCCUCCAAGGCUAAAUACUCCUGACUGACCGAUAGUGAACCAGUACCGUGAGGGAAAGGCGAAAAGAACCCCGGCGAGGGGAGUGAAAAAGAACCUGAAACCGUGUACGUACAAGCAGUGGGAGCCUCUUUUAUGGGGUGACUGCGUACCUUUUGUAUAAUGGGUCAGCGACUUAUAUUCUGUAGCAAGGUUAACCGAAUAGGGGAGCCGAAGGGAAACCGAGUCUUAACUGGGCGUUAAGUUGCAGGGUAUAGACCCGAAACCCGGUGAUCUAGCCAUGGGCAGGUUGAAGGUUGGGUAACACUAACUGGAGGACCGAACCGACUAAUGUUGAAAAAUUAGCGGAUGACUUGUGGCUGGGGGUGAAAGGCCAAUCAAACCGGGAGAUAGCUGGUUCUCCCCGAAAGCUAUUUAGGUAGCGCCUCGUGAAUUCAUCUCCGGGGGUAGAGCACUGUUUCGGCAAGGGGGUCAUCCCGACUUACCAACCCGAUGCAAACUGCGAAUACCGGAGAAUGUUAUCACGGGAGACACACGGCGGGUGCUAACGUCCGUCGUGAAGAGGGAAACAACCCAGACCGCCAGCUAAGGUCCCAAAGUCAUGGUUAAGUGGGAAACGAUGUGGGAAGGCCCAGACAGCCAGGAUGUUGGCUUAGAAGCAGCCAUCAUUUAAAGAAAGCGUAAUAGCUCACUGGUCGAGUCGGCCUGCGCGGAAGAUGUAACGGGGCUAAACCAUGCACCGAAGCUGCGGCAGCGACACUGUGUGUUGUUGGGUAGGGGAGCGUUCUGUAAGCCUGUGAAGGUGUACUGUGAGGUAUGCUGGAGGUAUCAGAAGUGCGAAUGCUGACAUAAGUAACGAUAAAGCGGGUGAAAAGCCCGCUCGCCGGAAGACCAAGGGUUCCUGUCCAACGUUAAUCGGGGCAGGGUGAGUCGACCCCUAAGGCGAGGCCGAAAGGCGUAGUCGAUGGGAAACAGGUUAAUAUUCCUGUACUUGGUGUUACUGCGAAGGGGGGACGGAGAAGGCUAUGUUGGCCGGGCGACGGUUGUCCCGGUUUAAGCGUGUAGGCUGGUUUUCCAGGCAAAUCCGGAAAAUCAAGGCUGAGGCGUGAUGACGAGGCACUACGGUGCUGAAGCAACAAAUGCCCUGCUUCCAGGAAAAGCCUCUAAGCAUCAGGUAACAUCAAAUCGUACCCCAAACCGACACAGGUGGUCAGGUAGAGAAUACCAAGGCGCUUGAGAGAACUCGGGUGAAGGAACUAGGCAAAAUGGUGCCGUAACUUCGGGAGAAGGCACGCUGAUAUGUAGGUGAAGCGACUUGCUCGUGGAGCUGAAAUCAGUCGAAGAUACCAGCUGGCUGCAACUGUUUAUUAAAAACACAGCACUGUGCAAACACGAAAGUGGACGUAUACGGUGUGACGCCUGCCCGGUGCCGGAAGGUUAAUUGAUGGGGUCAGCGCAAGCGAAGCUCUUGAUCGAAGCCCCGGUAAACGGCGGCCGUAACUAUAACGGUCCUAAGGUAGCGAAAUUCCUUGUCGGGUAAGUUCCGACCUGCACGAAUGGCGUAAUGAUGGCCAGGCUGUCUCCACCCGAGACUCAGUGAAAUUGAACUCGCUGUGAAGAUGCAGUGUACCCGCGGCAAGACGGAAAGACCCCGUGAACCUUUACUAUAGCUUGACACUGAACAUUGAGCCUUGAUGUGUAGGAUAGGUGGGAGGCUUUGAAGUGUGGACGCCAGUCUGCAUGGAGCCGACCUUGAAAUACCACCCUUUAAUGUUUGAUGUUCUAACGUUGACCCGUGAUCCGGGUUGCGGACAGUGUCUGGUGGGUAGUUUGACUGGGGCGGUCUCCUCCUAAAGAGUAACGGAGGAGCACGAAGGUUGGCUAAUCCUGGUCGGACAUCAGGAGGUUAGUGCAAUGGCAUAAGCCAGCUUGACUGCGAGCGUGACGGCGCGAGCAGGUGCGAAAGCAGGUCAUAGUGAUCCGGUGGUUCUGAAUGGAAGGGCCAUCGCUCAACGGAUAAAAGGUACUCCGGGGAUAACAGGCUGAUACCGCCCAAGAGUUCAUAUCGACGGCGGUGUUUGGCACCUCGAUGUCGGCUCAUCACAUCCUGGGGCUGAAGUAGGUCCCAAGGGUAUGGCUGUUCGCCAUUUAAAGUGGUACGCGAGCUGGGUUUAGAACGUCGUGAGACAGUUCGGUCCCUAUCUGCCGUGGGCGCUGGAGAACUGAGGGGGGCUGCUCCUAGUACGAGAGGACCGGAGUGGACGCAUCACUGGUGUUCGGGUUGUCAUGCCAAUGGCACUGCCCGGUAGCUAAAUGCGGAAGAGAUAAGUGCUGAAAGCAUCUAAGCACGAAACUUGCCCCGAGAUGAGUUCUCCCUGA